GAGGGUAAUAAACAAUUAUUACAGUGAGUGAAAUAAAGAAUCCAAGAAAGGAUUUACAAAGGAUAAGGCUUCUCAAGGAACAAAGAGGAAAGGACACCAAGAAUAAAAUAAUAAUAAUACUAGAAGAAAGAGAGAAUUUUUGCACUGAAGGAAUUGGUCAUGUGGUGAUCCGGGUUUGUGAAUAAAUAAAUGAAUCAAUAACAGAGAAAUGGUGGGUAGGGAGAUCGUGAAGGUCACUAGGUUUCGUUGAAAAAAAAAAAAACCACGAUUCAAGGGGACUCCAACACCGGAGCAGACAGCCUAGGAUUGGAUGGACGAUAGGCAAUCUGUAAUUUGACCUAUUCUUAAUGGUCAAUGAAUGGACGAGGAGUACAUGCACCCAAUUUCAG
This 389-nucleotide long non-coding RNA is filed under the name Olea europaea (common olive). RNAcentral's name for it is "long non-coding RNA (OEUR_LNC014463)". The record is from RNAcentral. Lineage: Eukaryota; Viridiplantae; Streptophyta; Magnoliopsida; Lamiales; Oleaceae.